UCACUAUAAGGGCAAAAUAUUUGAAAAAAUAUGACGCAAAGCUACAGGGGCUUAUGCUUACAGCAAUGCUAGCCAGCUGCCGAA
Molecule: non-coding RNA, 84 nt
Filed under: Bacillus coahuilensis
Lineage: Bacteria; Bacillati; Bacillota; Bacilli; Caryophanales; Bacillaceae
Also listed under: 1 other name
Description: c-di-GMP sequence
Rfam family: c-di-GMP-I riboswitch aptamer
About the family: GEMM was predicted in a large-scale screen for bacterial structured RNA regulatory elements. Genes associated with GEMM are involved in a diverse array of functions, including chemotaxis regulation, signal transduction, secretion and chitin.
Source: RNAcentral